UGCAGUCGAGCGAUGAAACACCUUCGGGUGUGAAUUAGCGGCGAACCUGUGAGGAACACGUGAGAAAUCUGCCUUCAACACUGGGAUAACUCCGGGAAACCGGGGCUAAUACCGGAUAUGAAAUCUGCGGGCAUCCGCGGAUUUGGAAAGUUUUUCGGUUGAAGAUGAUCUCGCGGCCUAUCAGCUUGUUGGUGAGGUAAUGGCUCACCAAGGCGACGACGGGUAGCCGGCCUGAGAGGGCGACCGGCCACACUGGGACUGAGACACGGCCCAGACUCCUACGGGAGGCAGCAGUGGGGAAUAUUGGGCAAUGGAGGAAACUCUGACCCAGCGACGCCGCGUGCGGGAUGAAGGCCUUCGGGUUGUAAACCGCUUUCAGCAGGGAAGAAGCGAAAGUGACGGUACCUGCAGAAGAAGCACCGGCUAACUAUGUGCCAGCAGCCGCGGUAAUACAUAGGGUGCAAGCGUUGUCCGGAAUUAUUGGGCGUAAAGAGCUCGUAGGUGGUUCGUCACGUCGGAUGUGAAACUCUGGGGCUUAACCCCAGACCUGCAUUCGAUACGGGCGAGCUUGAGUAUGGUAGGGGAGUCUGGAAUUCCUGGUGUAGCGGUGGAAUGCGCAGAUAUCAGGAGGAACACCAAUGGCGAAGGCAGGACUCUGGGCCAUUACUGACACUGAGGAGCGAAAGCGUGGGGAGCGAACAGGAUUAGAUACCCUGGUAGUCCACGCCGUAAACGGUGGGCACUAGUUGUGGGGACCUUCCACGGUCUCUGCGACGCAGCUAACGCAUUAAGUGCCCCGCCUGGGGAGUACGAUCGCAAGAUUAAAACUCAAAGGAAUUGACGGGGCCCCGCACAAGCAGCGGAGCAUGCGGCUUAAUUCGA
This 882-nucleotide ribosomal RNA is filed under the name uncultured Actinomycetales bacterium. RNAcentral's name for it is "bacterial SSU rRNA". It matches the Rfam family "Bacterial small subunit ribosomal RNA", at positions 56 to 954 of the family's 1533-position model. Lineage: Bacteria; Bacillati; Actinomycetota; Actinomycetes; Actinomycetales. The record is from RNAcentral.